Long non-coding RNA from Polypterus senegalus (gray bichir), 733 nucleotides. RefSeq lists it as uncharacterized. Lineage: Eukaryota; Metazoa; Chordata; Cladistia; Polypteriformes; Polypteridae. The transcript is spliced from 3 exons. The record is from RefSeq and is a predicted model, not a curated record.
GAGGGAAACGGAACGAAGAGCGAAGUUUCAGGGAAAUAGAAUUUUGAGGUGUAACACGUGGCUGCAGUAGUUGCCUGUGGCGUUAAAAAUUCGAUUCAUCAUCACUGAACUUGGCACAAAUUCGGAGGCGUCUGCCACCUUCCAUGUAGGUUAUUGUGUGUAGACUGAUGGGAAAAAAUGGCAAAUAUAUCCAAUUAAACUGAAAUCUACAACACAAGGCAGUCUGCACAAAGUGAGGAAGGUCUGAACACUUUGUGAAUCCUGGCAUUACUCUGGUCAAGGAUGGAAGCAGCCCAGGAUAAGCCUACUCACGUACACGAUGGCACUAACACAAUUUGAAUUGCCAGCUAACCUGAAAUGUGCAACUGUGAGAAUGUGGAAGGAAUACGGCAGGUAAGCUGCCCAAAUCCAGGAGGACCUCAUCAAGGGCUUGAAUGAGGUAUGUGAUAACUCGCCGGGGUGAGAAGGCGCCACUGUCAGUGAUGUUCUCUUCCCCUUCUCUCCCUGCAACUCUGAGAAACUGCCAGUGAGGGCCGUUAGCUCCACCCCUUCUAGAAUGCGCUGCCAUAAGAAGCCCAGUUGCCUGGAAAAAGAUGUCAUUCUCCUCAGAGCUAACCGGCAGAGGGAGCUCCCAAACGAUUGACCCUUUCCUCACAAGCAGCUACCUAGGAAUAACCUAUUGUUUUGAUUGUAUUAAAUUUGAUUUGUAUUAAACACCACUAACUAAAUGGGA